This 508-nucleotide ribosomal RNA is filed under the name uncultured bacterium. RNAcentral's name for it is "bacterial SSU rRNA". It matches the Rfam family "Bacterial small subunit ribosomal RNA", at positions 773 to 1289 of the family's 1533-position model. The record is from RNAcentral.
AGGGAAUAGAUACCCGGGUAGUCCACGCCCUAAACGUUGUCAACUGGCUUUUCGGAGAAUCGACCCUUCGAGAGGCGAAGCUAACGCGUUAAAGUUGACCGCCUGGGUAGUACGAACGCAAGUUUAAAACUCAAAGGAAUAGACGGGGGCUCGCACAAGCGGUGGAUCAUGAGGCUUAAUUCGUCGCUAAGCGAAGAACCUUACCAGGGUUAGAAACCAUACUGCACGCCCCGUGAAAGCGGGGAAGCCUUCGAGGGUGUAUGGCAGGUGAUGCAUGGCCGUCGUCAGUUCGUGGCUUGAGUUGUUCCCUUAAGUGGGGAAACGAACGCAACCCCCGUUGCCUGUUAUAAGUGUCAGGCGAGACUGCUCCCUCACGGGAGAGGAAGGUGGGGAUGACGCCAGGUCCGCAUGUCCCUCUGAUACCCCUGGGGCUGCACUCGUGAUACAAUGGUUGGUACAACAGGACGCAAUACCGUAAGGUGGAGCAAAUCCUCUAAAGCCCAACCCC